Myodes glareolus (Bank vole) is the source of this 1309-nucleotide non-coding RNA. NCBI's taxonomy places the organism in Eukaryota, Metazoa, Chordata, Mammalia, Rodentia, Cricetidae. The record is from RefSeq and is a predicted model, not a curated record.
AGACCACCGAAGAGGCAACAUGUAAGCUGUCACACUGAGAAAGGUUUUCACAGGGAAAGGACAAGAAGAUAAGGGGUGUGGGAAGAAGAUACUACACCUUCGGCCACCAGAAGAAAGGCAGCUUUGUAAAUCAGAGUGAAGACUGAGGCUGGAGAUGCCCGGAGGAGCAGUGCCUUUCAGCACUUCAGCAGAAGCCUAACUGCAGCGACUUCUGACCGCAGGGCUGUAACAGGAUGUAUAACCAGAAGGGAUUGUUGGGGUGUAUGGUAAUUCCUUGUUAAGUUGCUAAGCAACUGUCUGCUUUCAAAUGUGGCUUGACUUUUUCUUCCCCACCAUAACGCACGAGGAUUCUGCUCUCACUAGACCCUCGCUUGCACCUGUUAUUCUGUUUCCAUGGCUGCAGCUCUUCUGAGGGCAACGUGCAUGCCCUUCCUCAUGACUAAAGAUGUGGAGCACAUUUUCAGGUUACUAUUGCUAUGAUGACCAAAAGCAAGUUGGCUUGUGUGUCUCAAAUCCCAGACUCUUGAGGGAAGCCAAGAUAGGACCUCAAACAAGACAACAAGACAGAAACCUGGAGGCCAGAGCUGAUGCAGAGACCCUGGGGAGGUGCUGCUUACUGUCUGGCUUUCCAGGGCUUGCUCAGCCCACAUUCUUAAAGAACCCAGGACCACAGACCCAGGGAUGGCACCACCCAUAAUGUGCUGGGCCCUCCUACAGUAGAUGUUCUACAUCAUUUGUGUGUUAGUCACCCUGAAGACCUCUGAGAGUUAAAUUGCUAAUUCCUUAGUCCUUAUUUGAAUUGCAAAGUGCUGAGUCUACACUGUCAUGUAAACACUGCAAAGAGCCUCUAUCUGACCUAUAGGAUGCCUGUCCUCGGUGUAUGACACAGCCUCACAUGAUGUUGGGAUGUGCAGAAGUUAAAACAUAGGUUUUAAAAAAAUUAUUAAGCUAUUGAAAUAAUACAACAUAAACGUCUCUCUUCCUUCUUUCCAACUUCUCUUUUCCAUUGUUUUAUCUUUUUUAACCCCAGUUCAGCAACCCACUUUUUUCAAAUGGCUUUUCUGAGGGGAGACACAAUAUCUCAGUUCCUGUUUUUUUCCUUCCUUUUUUUAGAACAUAUAGCAGAAAUGCUUCCUAAUGCUAAUAAUACUCAUGGUUGUUACAUUCUUGAGAAAUUUACUCUAAUGAAUCAAGCAAUGUAUUUUUAGAACAUUUUUUGUUUCCAGGAAGAAUGAGUACACAGGUCAGUUUCAAUUGCCCCCACUAUGUGUAGACCAUUGUGAAGUGAAAAUUUAAUUUCUGUAUGUUG